AGAGCGAACGCUGGCGGCAGGCUUAACACAUGCAAGUCGAGCGGGCGUAGCAAUGCGUCAGCGGCAGACGGGUGAGUAACGCGUGGGAACGUACCUUUUGGUUCGGAACAACCCAGGGAAACUUGGGCUAAAUACCGGAUAAGCCCUUACGGGGAAAGAUUUAUCGCCGAAAGAUCGGCCCGCGUCUGAUUAGCUAGUUGGUGAGGUAAUGGCUCACCAAGGCGACGAUCAGUAGCUGGUCUGAGAGGAUGAUCAGCCACAUUGGGACUGAGACACGGCCCAAACUCCUACGGGAGGCAGCAGUGGGGAAUAUUGGACAAUGGGCGCAAGCCUGAUCCAGCCAUGCCGCGUGAGUGAUGAAGGCCCUAGGGUUGUAAAGCUCUUUUGUGCGGGAAGAUAAUGACGGUACCGCAAGAAUAAGCCCCGGCUAACUUCGUGCCAGCAGCCGC
RNAcentral lists this ribosomal RNA (449 nucleotides) under uncultured bacterium. RNAcentral describes it as "SSU rRNA". It matches the Rfam family "Bacterial small subunit ribosomal RNA", at positions 26 to 518 of the family's 1533-position model. The record is from RNAcentral.